UACGUAGGGUGCGAGCGUUAAUCGGAAUUACUGGGCGUAAAGCGUGCGCAGGCGGUUUUGUAAGCCAGAUGUGAAAUCCCCGGGCUUAACCUGGGAAUGGCAUUUGGGACUGCAAGGCUUGAGUGCGGCAGAGGAGAGUGGAAUUCCCGGUGUAGCAGUGAAAUGCGUAGAGAUCGGGAGGAACAUCAGUUGCGAAGGCGGCUCUCUGGACCAGCACUGACACUGAGGCACGAAAGCGUGGGGAGCAAACAGG
Molecule: ribosomal RNA, 253 nt
Filed under: uncultured bacterium
Lineage: Bacteria
Description: partial 16S ribosomal RNA
Rfam family: Bacterial small subunit ribosomal RNA
Source: RNAcentral